This 428-nucleotide ribosomal RNA is filed under the name Bacteroidota bacterium. RNAcentral describes it as "Bacteroidetes bacterium partial 16S ribosomal RNA". It matches the Rfam family "Bacterial small subunit ribosomal RNA", at positions 355 to 776 of the family's 1533-position model. Lineage: Bacteria; Pseudomonadati; Bacteroidota. The record is from RNAcentral.
UAGGGAAUCUUCCGCAAUGGACGCAAGUCUGACGGAGCAACGCCGCGUGAGUGAAGAAGGAUUUCGGUUCGUAAAACUCUGUUGUUAGAGAAGAACAGCGCAUAGAGUAACUGUUAUGCGUGUGACGGUAUCUAACCAGAAAGCCACGGCUAACUACGUGCCAGCAGCCGCGGUAAUACGUAGGUGGCAAGCGUUGUCCGGAAUCAUUGGGCGUAAAGGGUACGUAGGCGGCCCAGUAAGUUAGAAGUGAAAUAAUAUAGCUCAACUAUAUAAAGCUUUUAAAACUGCUAGGCUUGAGAGAUGGAAGGGAAAGUGGAAUUCCUAGUGUAGCGGUGAAAUGCGCAGAUAUUAGGAAGAAUACCGGUGGCGAAGGCGACUUUCUGGUCAUCAUCUGACGCUGAGGUACGAAAGCGUGGGUAGCAAACAGG